GGAAUUUUGCGCAAUGGGGGAAACCCUGACGCAGCAACGCCGCGUGGAGGAUGAAGGCCUUCGGGUCGUAAACUCCUGUCAAUCGGGACGAAUGCACCUGACCUAAUACGUCGGCGUGUUGACUGUACCGGUGAAGGAAGCCACGGCUACCUCCGUGCCCGCAGCCGCGGUAAUACCGAGGUGGCAAGCGUUGUUCGGAAUUACUGGGCGUAAAGGGCGCGCAGGCGGCCAAGCAAGUCCCGUGUGAAAUCCCCCGGCUCAACUGGGGAACUGCACGGGAUACUGCCUGGCUUGAGUUCGGGAGAGGGAAGCGGAAUUCCGGGUGUAGCGGUGAAAUGCGCAGAUAUCCGGAGGAACACCAGCGGCGAAGGCGGCUUCCUGGACCGACACUGACGCUGAGGCGCGAAAGCUGGGGGAGCA
RNAcentral lists this ribosomal RNA (420 nucleotides) under uncultured bacterium. Its description in RNAcentral is "bacterial SSU rRNA". It matches the Rfam family "Bacterial small subunit ribosomal RNA", at positions 358 to 770 of the family's 1533-position model. The record is from RNAcentral.